GAACGGGUGAGUAACACGUGGGUGAUCUGCCCUGCACUUUGGGAUAAGCCUGGGAAACUGGGUCUAAUACCGAAUAGGACCACGCGCUUCAUGGUGUGUGGUGGAAAGCUUUUGCGGUGUGGGAUGGGCCCGCGGCCUAUCAGCUUGUUGGUGGGGUAAUGGCCUACCAAGGCGACGACGGGUAGCCGGCCUGAGAGGGUGACCGGCCACACUGGGACUGAGAUACGGCCCAGACUCCUACGGGAGGCAGCAGUGGGGAAUAUUGCACAAUGGGCGCAAGCCUGAUGCAGCGACGCCGCGUGAGGGAUGACGGCCUUCGGGUUGUAAACCUCUUUCAAUAGGGACGAAGCGCAAGUGACGGUACCUAUAGAAGAAGCACCGGCCAACUACGUGCCAGCAGCCGCGGUAAUACGUAGGGUGCGAGCGUUGUCCGGAAUUACUGGGCGUAAAGAGCUCGUAGGUGGUUUGUCGCGUUGUUCGUGAAAACUCACAGCUUAACUGUGGGCGUGCGGGCGAUACGGGCAGACUAGAGUACUGCAGGGGAGACUGGAAUUCCUGGUGUAGCGGUGGAAUGCGCAGAUAUCAGGAGGAACACCGGUGGCGAAGGCGGGUCUCUGGGCAGUAACUGACGCUGAGGAGCGAAAGCGUGGGGAGCGAACAGGAUUAGAUACCCUGGUAGUCCACGCUGUAAACGGUGGGUACUAGGUGUGGGUUCCUUCCUUGGGAUCCGUGCCGUAGCUAACGCAUUAAGUACCCCGCCUGGGGAGUACGGCCGCAAGGCUAAAACUCAAAGGAAUUGACGGGGG
This 806-nucleotide ribosomal RNA is filed under the name uncultured bacterium. Its description in RNAcentral is "bacterial SSU rRNA". It matches the Rfam family "Bacterial small subunit ribosomal RNA", at positions 100 to 919 of the family's 1533-position model. The record is from RNAcentral.